RNAcentral lists this long non-coding RNA (1138 nucleotides) under Sus scrofa (pig). RNAcentral's name for it is "lncRNA (ENSSSCG00060023849.1)". The record is from RNAcentral. Lineage: Eukaryota; Metazoa; Chordata; Mammalia; Artiodactyla; Suidae.
GUCUCUCUCCGAAUUCUUUCUGUAGUAAGAGAGAAGAACCUAUACUUUACUAAGUCCUGAGACGCGUUCUGCAGGUUUUGGGGUUUCAGCUAUGAUCUUCCUUCCACAUUCUCCUCUUUCUCUUUCACUGUCUCCACCUUUUCCUUCUCUCAGAUGUCACAGCCUCUGACUUCUCCCUGAUCCUCUGAAGCCACACACAACCAAGACUUUAUGCUUACAGCCAUUCCGACUGUUUCCUCCAUUCUGACAGUUCCAGCUCCGUGCCUGGAACACUGCUGACUGGAUAAGUAAAUCAACCCAUCCAUUCGUCCAUCCUCAUAUCUCUAUAUUUAGUUUUCACCUGUCUCCCAAACUCCAGGCUCUGCUGAUCUGUCCAAAUUUAUUCCCUACAAAAGUCCAACAAAAACCACUUUCUCCUUUCAGAUGGCCUCUCCACCCUCAAACAAGCCUUACCCAAUGUCACCUCCACACCACUGUUCACACAGUCCCUUCUCUGGUUCUCUCCUCUGGCUCCUCUGCUGUAGCCUGUACAGUCGACCCUAAGUACCUGAGAGGGGAUUAGUUCCAGGCAGGCCACCCCAUCCCGCCCUUGGACACCACAAUCUGUGUACGCUCAAAUUCCUUAUAUAAAAUGGCAUAGCAUUUACAUAUAAAUUACCUAUAAUCCUCAAGAAUACUUUAACUCACCUCUAGGUUAAUUAUAAUAUCGAAUACAAUGGAUAGGUAAAGUCAUUAUUCCCAUUUUUACAGAUAAGAAAACUGAGUCACGGAGAAAUUAAGUAUAUCGUACACAGAAUUCAAAUCCAUGCAGAAUGACCUUCGAGUUCACUAAAGUCACCCACUGGGAAGCUGCACCCAGGCUGGCAAUUUCCACCUUGAUUUUUGGCAAAUCCCAGGAUUGGUUCAUCACCUCUUUUGAGAAUGUAUGAACAGCAAUCCAACUAUAAUAACAGAUCUAUGAUACCUGAACAUUAGUCUCAUAGAUCUGGGACAUUAGUCCACUUUCAGUCUGCAUUAUAUGUCCUGAUAGCUCAAAAGAAAACACACAAAGCUUAUAACAUAUAAAAAUUUUAGACUGCACCUUCAUAAUGUCUUCAAAAUGUAGAACUGCAAGAGAGGAUGGCCUCCUUAAGACUGG